UGGCUUCUCCCUGUGACCGCCACCAAACUUCUAGAACCCCUGCAAUAUGUGCUUCUGAUUUUUUUGUCAAGAUACAUAGAAGCGGCAGGUUUUUCGAUAGGAGAACGAUGUUCCUAGUAGUAUAAUUAAUAACACUGAUUUCAAGGAGAGCAUAUAAGAAAGAUCGCGUCAAAAUAAGCAAGAUAUUUAUUAACGCUUCAAGGAGCUCACCGUAAAUGUAGUAAGUGCUUACUUGAGGCGUUCGUUUGCCGCAAUUAGAUGGAUGAUACUUCACGAAGUGGAACUCUGAAACAUAAUUCUGUUAACGAACGAAUGUCCUGCGUGUUAACUACUAUGUCUGCCAGGAGCGUGUAUAGACAAGUACCGAUCUUUGACCCGCUGUAGUGGGGUUUAACACAAGAAGUUAAAAAAGUCUUUGCCUUUACUUGUAUCCUACUUUUAUGCUGACUUUGCAUUAUUGCUUUUAAGUGACGGAAGUGCACAUCGUCCAACGAACUUGAAGUGCCUUUCUAACUUUCUAGAUAAUAUCUGCAUUAAGAGCUUGCUUUGCCGCUACCAAGAACUCGACACAAUCCUCUGUAUUUACCGUAAGAAUGCUUCUGAGAAGGACCUCUCUCCAUUGUUACUCAACGGCGGACUAUCGACGAAACAGUAUCACAGUCAAGAAGCACAGUGGUCAGUGUCGCUUCGGCAGGCUUCAUACUUAAAUGAACAAGGAAAACUACGUUAGUGAUGGUUAAACCUUCUUUAAUCGUUGGAUGUUUGGCAAGCCGGUUCAAGUUUCCGAAGCAGGAAUGAAAAGCUGAGCAUUACAGAGCUCCAACGUUGUACAGGGUUCGUGAGAGAAAAACGGUGUAAGCCUAGAGACCCCCCGCCAGGAUGAUGUCCGUAGAGGUCGGAUUUGAAUUUUGGUUGAUUCGAU
Molecule: long non-coding RNA, 922 nt
Organism: Varroa destructor (honeybee mite)
Lineage: Eukaryota; Metazoa; Arthropoda; Arachnida; Mesostigmata; Varroidae
Source: RefSeq, a predicted model, not a curated record